RNAcentral lists this ribosomal RNA (468 nucleotides) under uncultured bacterium. RNAcentral describes it as "partial 16S ribosomal RNA". It matches the Rfam family "Bacterial small subunit ribosomal RNA", at positions 28 to 507 of the family's 1533-position model. The record is from RNAcentral.
GACGAACGCUGGCGGCGUGCUUAACACAUGCAAGUCGAACGAACAGACCCUGCUUUUGUUGCGUGCUCGUUUGCCGAACAGGUGAGUAACACGUGAGUAAACCGCCCUUGACUGACGGAUAACAUCACGGAACUCGGGCUCAUACCGGAGAGAAGCUACUGCUCCGUGGGGGGGGAUAGUAAGUUUCGGCGGUUGGGGAUGGACUCGAGGCUUAUCAGCUGGUUGGGGUGGUAGUGGCUUACCAAGGCUUUGACGGGUAGCCGGCCUGGGAGGGUGACCGGCGACAUGGGGACUGAGAGACGGCGCAGACUCCUACGGGACGCAGUAGUGGGGAAUAUUGCACAAUGGGCGGAAGCCUGAUGCAGCAACGCCGCGUGCGGGAUGACGGCCUUCUGGUGGUAAACCGCUUUCGCCUGUGACGAAGCGUGAGUGACGGUAAUGGGUAAAGAAGCACCGGCUAACUACGUG